UGUAUGUUGUUUUACUCCAUGUGUAACUCUGUGUUUUUGUAUGUUGUCGAACUGCUUUGCUUUAUCUUGGCCAGGUCGCAAUUGUAAAUGAGAACUUGUUCUCAACUUGCCUACCUGGUUAAAUAAAGGUGAAAUAAAAAAAAAUUAAAAAAAAUAAAUUGUAUUAUGACUAGGUCUACUAAAUGGGGGAAAAAUUUUGUUUAGUCUGACAAAAAUACAAUUUCCUAGGCUUAAGUUUUCAUCAGUGUUGAAAAUAGAUGUAUCUUUAGAAUCUUCUAGACAGAUGUAUCAGUAGUGACUGAGCUGUAUAAAUUGUCACAAUGUGUAGAUUGGAACGUGAAACAACUAAUGCUUUUACUUUAUUUAAACUUUAUACCAGCAAGAAUUUGGACAGUGUUGACUUAGACCAUAUUCAGCACAAUUCACAAUGGUCAAACCUAUCUGUGAUUCUAACCAGGUUACAGGAUAGAGGAGAAAGAAGUGUGUCUUUUGAGAGAGACAAUCUACCUACUUGACCCAUUUAAGGCCUUUUUUUUUGCAUUUAUCUAUCAAAAUCAUUUUAGUUGGGAAAGGAAGGUAAGGGUAAGGUGAACUGGGCAAGAUGACCCUUGGCUUCCUUCAAAGUCCUUAUCACUUCUAUGGAUAUCAAGUUGUCUGUUAAGAAGACGUACCUUGUAAAGUCAUUACAGGAUUUGGACAGAAAAACCUAUGAGACAUUUUCAAGUGAUGAACGCCCCCAUUUUUAUUUUUGUUAAUUUUUCUUUGGAUGGACUUGAAUUGUGAAUUUUCCCCAUGGCAGUUGAUCCUUGGGAGAGAACAAAAGCUCAUCUACAGUAUAGGAGACAAAAUCAGUGAGAAAUGACAAUCAUCAUAAGUAAAAAAAAUAAAUAAAAAGACAAGCAGUCUGCCUUGUUUUUAUUUUUGGUUUGUUUUUCCCGAAGACGAUACUUCAGAAUUGUUCAAGUUUUACCACUGACGUUUUGGAAAUAAUCUGUUAAAGGGGGAACUGUCCUUGGUGAAGGGGCACUCCCACUGUGGUACAAGUGUAACUUUGUUUACCUUGGAUGCUGUAAUCGCUCACCUGCUGUGGAACAGAAAAGGUAAGUGACUCCUGAUCACUUUUUAAUGAGCCGUUUUAUUUCACACAGAGCAGUGAGUUUAGAACACAGAGGUAUGCAGUAGCUGCUGUUUUAUAAUGUGUUGUCUCCCUUUUUAGAGCUGGACAAAAAUACAUAACACGAUAAAUUGCCUGAAUUGAUGCGAGAACAAUACGUUUAUAACAAUAAUGUGCACCACAGUUAAAAAAAAUUAUCCUUUAAAUUACUUCUAACAGUUUGGUAGUUGUAGCCAUCAAUUGUCCUGUUAACAAUCAGUCAUAUUAGCAAACUUAUUUCAUUUCAAACUUCACAUUUCUCUAGUAUACACUACUUAUUGUAAUGAACCAUAUCAGCAAAAUGCCUGCGAUAAGGAAUCGGUAUGGUCAGUGUCGAUCAUUUCCGGUUUAUCGUCCCAGCUCUACUCCCUCUACAGGUAAACAAUCUGUAUUCAGCUUCCCCUGAGGUCGUUCAUCUGAGGAGUGCUGUGGUUCUGCUCCUACUGCUCACAAGAGAAGACCUCAAUACCUGGCCGGUUUGAGAGACAACAUUUAUAUAAAAACACACACACCCUUAAACAGAGUCUGAAAGUGCAGUUAUAUUCUAAGAUUGUGUUGUCUUCCACUACAGGUAAACAAUCCCAGUGACAUGAUUCAUGUAUGCAGCAUCUCCUGGCCAGCAAUACGGUUAUCUGAGUGCUCAUCUCAGCCUUGUGUCCACUGUUCACAAUAGAAUACCUCAAGACCUAAAAAAGAUGGAGUUUAGGGAAUGUGGUCCCAGGACAGAAGCAGUGGAUGAGCCCUCCUGACCAUUCAAACUCAGGCUCUGACAUAUCAGCAGUUUGUUGUAGUUGGAUAAAUGCACCAUCUCUACAACCCAUGGAUCCAGGACAGGGGCAGUAGAUACCACCAUCUCUACAACCCAUGGAUCCAGGACAGGGGCAGUAGAUACCACCAUCUCUACAACCCAUGGAUCCAGGACAGGGGCAGUAGAUACCACCAUCUCUACAACCCAUGGAUCCAGGACAGGGGCAGUAGAUACCACCAUCUCUACAACCCAUGGAUCCAGGACAGGGGAAGUAGAUACCACCAUCUCUACAACCCAUGGAUCCAGGACAGGGGAAGUAGAUACCACCAUCUCUACAACCCAUGGAUCCAGGACAGGGGCAGUAGAUACCACCAUCUCUACAACCCAUGGAUCCAGGACAGGGGCAGUAGAUACCACCAUCUCUACAACCCAUGGAUCCAGGACAGGGGCAGUAGAUACCACCAUCUCUACAACCCAUGGAUCCAGGACAGGGGCAGUAGAUACCACCAUCUCUACAACCCAUGGAUCCAGGACAGGGGCAGUAGAUACCACCAUCUCUACAACCCAUGGAUCCAGGACAGGGGCAGUAGAUACCACCAUCUCUACAACCCAUGGAUCCAGGACAGGGGCAGUAGAUACCACCAUCUCUACAACCCAUAGAUCCAGGACAGGGGCAGUAGAUACCACCAUCUCUACAACCCAUAGAUCCAGGACAGGGGUAGUAGAUACCACCAUCUCUACAACCCAUGGAUCCAGGACAGGGGUAGUAGAUACCACCAUCUCUACAACCCAUGGAUCCAGGACAGGGUAGUAGAUACCACCGCCUUUCAAACACCGGGGAUGACAUAUCUGCAGGUUAGUCGCUGUCAUUGUCAUAGCUUGUACUCUGUCUAGUGUACCAAUGGCUCAUUUCUACCACAACAGAAUGACGACUGAGAUUCCAACACACAGGGUUUCAAUGCUCUUGGACAACAGAAAAGCGUAGACCAUUGAGACAUGAUGAUGGUGUCUAAGAUGUACUGUGUGUUCUCUCUGACGUUGAACCAGAAGUGCACCAUCUGUUGCUCAUUCUGGGUAGUGUUGUAUGAUUAAGCUAUUCACACACGGAAAUACAAUCGUUUUUUAAACCUGUGUGACAGUCUCCUCUUGGUGUAGCGAUCUCUGUCUGUCUUUGUGUUGAUUAUUAUCUAGCAUGAUUAUGGAGCUAGCUGCCGUCUUAACAGCACAAAAAAACACCAUUACAACUGACUGUUCAUUUUUAUUCUCAGAGUCCCUCAUCCUUUUUGGGCCAGGAUAAGGAUCUUAGACCUUGUCCUUGGUGUGGUUUUGGACCAACUCUGUUUCUGUAAAGAAGACACCUUGUCUGCAUCAUCACAUGGCCACCAGAAAGCCAACUGACUGCCUCUGGCCUCCAUGCCUGUGUUUCUGUCCGCUUAGAGGACUGACUGACUGUUCUGAGACCUGUUGUCCCACAUUCCACUGAUUCAUUCCACAGCAGAACCAAGACGGAUUAGGAUGUUACAGGACAAAGAGAGACUGAUCUGUGAGUAGAGACUACAGCACCCACAAAGUAGAGACUACAGCACCCACAAAGCAUUGCGGCUUCCCUUACUGAGACUUGUAGGCCUACUUGCACUGCCUGCUUUUACUACUGUCUCAAGGUAAUUUUUUUCUGUGAGUUAAUGUUCUGUAAAUACUCCCAGGUUUGGUGUUUCAGAUGUUCAUGGUCUAUGUUACCAGUUUUACACUGUGUGGACUUGGGGGUUUUGUUCUCCAGGAAAUUGCAGCUUGUGGAAAAUAUCACACAAUUUACUGCUGACAAAUUUGACAUUUCUAUUUUUCUUUUAUGUUGGA
This is a non-coding RNA of Salmo salar (Atlantic salmon), 3755 nucleotides long. The record is from RefSeq and is a predicted model, not a curated record. Lineage: Eukaryota; Metazoa; Chordata; Actinopteri; Salmoniformes; Salmonidae.